RNAcentral lists this ribosomal RNA (471 nucleotides) under Triticum aestivum (bread wheat). Its description in RNAcentral is "partial small subunit ribosomal RNA". Lineage: Eukaryota; Viridiplantae; Streptophyta; Magnoliopsida; Poales; Poaceae. The record is from RNAcentral.
AUGAAUGUUGAUGGUUCUUACUGGAAGCAUGAGCAGUACCCCAAAACCACAUGGGUUGCUACAAAGGGACCUUCAGUGGAUCCAUCUACCUUAUCUGGCUUCACUUGUGCUCACCCUAUUAUCAUUGAUGAAUCCUUUGAUGCAAACUAUAAACUGUUUAGGAAUCAGAAUGGUGAAGUGUUUGCCAGGUAUAUUGGUACUAACUGCAGGAAUGGACCACCUUUGAAGAAGAUCUGGGUACCCAAGAGUUGUCUUGAGAAUCUUCCUGUCAAUGUCAUCAUGAUACCACCUGGGAAGAAGACAAACCCCAGACCAAAGGCUUCAUAUGGUCCAAAGGCUUCAUACAGACAGAGGACUCACCAGAGUCACCCUAACGCCAAUGUUUUGCAGGGAAACCAUACUCAGACUUAUGAAUAUGAGUGUGUUUCGUCAAACCGCUAUGUUCAUAAGACCAAGAACUUUUUUGCUUAA